GAUGAACGCUGGCGGCGUGCCUAAUACAUGCAAGUCGAGCGAACAGACGAGGAGCUUGCUCCUCUGACGUUAGCGGCGGACGGGUGAGUAACACGUGGAUAACCUACCUAUAAGACUGGGAUAACUUCGGGAAACCGGAGCUAAUACCGGAUAAUAUAUUGAACCGCAUGGUUCAAUAGUUAAAGACGGUUUUGCUGUCACUUAUAGAUGGAUCCGCGCCGCAUUAGCUAGUUGGUAAGGUAACGGCUUACCAAGGCGACGAUGCGUAGCCGACCUGAGAGGGUGAUCGGCCACACUGGAACUGAGACACGGUCCAGACUCCUACGGGAGGCAGCAGUAGGGAAUCUUCCGCAAUGGGCGAAAGCCUGACGGAGCAACGCCGCGUGAGUGAUGAAGGUCUUCGGAUCGUAAAACUCUUUUAUUAGGGAAGAACAAAUGUGUAAGUAACUAUGCACGUCUUGACGGUACCUAAUCAGAAAGCCACGGCUAACUACGUG
This 497-nucleotide ribosomal RNA is filed under the name uncultured bacterium. Its description in RNAcentral is "partial 16S ribosomal RNA". It matches the Rfam family "Bacterial small subunit ribosomal RNA", at positions 28 to 507 of the family's 1533-position model. The record is from RNAcentral.